AGCGAACGCUGGCGGCAGGCCUAACACAUGCAAGUCGAACGGAUCCUUCGGGAUUAGUGGCGGACGGGUGAGUAACACGUGGGAACGUGCCCUUUGGUUCGGAACAACUCAGGGAAACUUGAGCUAAUACCGGAUGUGCCCUUCGGGGGAAAGAUUUAUCGCCAUUGGAGCGGCACGCGUCUGAUUAGCUAGUUGGUGAGGUAUAGGCUCACCAAGGCGACGAUCAGUAGCUGGUCUGAGAGGAUGAUCAGCCACAUUGGGACUGAGACACGGCCCAAACUCCUACGGGAGGCAGCAGUGGGGAAUCUUGCGCAAUGGGCGAAAGCCUGGCGCAGCCAUGCCGCGUGAAUGAUGAAGGUCUUAGGAUUGUAAAAUUCUUUCACCGGGGACGAUAAUGACGGUACCCGGAGAAGAAGCCCCGGCUAACUUCGUGCCAGCCGCCGCCGUAA
This 449-nucleotide ribosomal RNA is filed under the name uncultured bacterium. RNAcentral's name for it is "partial 16S ribosomal RNA". It matches the Rfam family "Bacterial small subunit ribosomal RNA", at positions 29 to 523 of the family's 1533-position model. The record is from RNAcentral.